UAUUAAAUUAACCCUGUCAUGCUGUCAAAAUUUUAUUGAAUGGUGGGUUUUGCUUGCUGCAGUGGGCUGGGUUCUGUGGACUAGCCUAUUAGAGGGGCACGAAAUCCUGACAUAUUUUACCUCGGUUGGAAAGGUGAAUAGGGUAACUCCUGAGGUAUAACUUUUAGAAUUCACUUCACGCCAAACCACCAUGUGAGGGGGAACUUGGCCAACGCUAAGGAACGACUAUAUUUUCUAAAUAAAAACAUGAUUUAUGAGUAUAUAACUUUUUAAUAGCCUUGGCGGACUCAGUUUGGGAUAGCCCUC
RNAcentral lists this long non-coding RNA (306 nucleotides) under Theobroma cacao (cacao). Its description in RNAcentral is "long non-coding RNA (TCAC_LNC005532)". The record is from RNAcentral. Lineage: Eukaryota; Viridiplantae; Streptophyta; Magnoliopsida; Malvales; Malvaceae.